UGGGGAAUCUUGGACAAUGGGGGCAACCCUGAUCCAGCCAUGCCGCGUGAGUGAUGAAGGCCUUAGGGUCGUAAAGCUCUUUCGCCUGUGAAGAUAAUGACGGUAGCAGGUAAAGAAACCCCGGCUAACUCCGUGCCAGCAGCCGCGGUAAUACGGAGGGGGUUAGCGUUGUUCGGAAUUACUGGGCGUAAAGCGCACGUAGGCGGACCAGAAAGUUGGGGGUGAAAUCCCGGGGGCUCAACCCCGGAACUGCCUCCAAAACUAUUGGUCUAGAGUUCGAGAGAGGUGAGUGGAAUUCCAAGUGUAGAGGUGAAAUUCGUAGAUAUUUGGAGGAACACCAGUGGCGAAGGCGGCUCACUGGCUCGAUACUGACGCUGAGGUGCGAAAGUGUGGGGAGCAAACAGGAUUAGAUACCCUGGUAGUCCACACCGUAAAACGAUGAAUGCCAGUCGUCGGGUAGCAUGCUAUUCGGUGACACACCUAACGGAUUAAGCAUUCCGGCCUGGGGCAGUACGGUCGCAAGAUU
This 526-nucleotide ribosomal RNA is filed under the name uncultured bacterium. RNAcentral's name for it is "bacterial SSU rRNA". It matches the Rfam family "Bacterial small subunit ribosomal RNA", at positions 355 to 895 of the family's 1533-position model. The record is from RNAcentral.